RNAcentral lists this ribosomal RNA (468 nucleotides) under uncultured bacterium. Its description in RNAcentral is "partial 16S ribosomal RNA". It matches the Rfam family "Bacterial small subunit ribosomal RNA", at positions 28 to 507 of the family's 1533-position model. The record is from RNAcentral.
GACGAACGCUGGCGGCGUGCUUAACAAAUGCAAGUCGAACGGAAAGGCCCUGCUGUUGUGGGGUGCUCGAGUGGCGAACGGGUGAGUAACACGUUAGUAACCUGCCCUGGACUUUGGGAUAACUUCAGGAAACUGGGGCUAAUACCGGAUAGGAGCUCCUGCUGCAUGGUGGGGGUUGGAAAGUUUCGGCGGUUGGGGAUGGACUCGCGGCUUAUCAGCUUGUUGGUGGGGUAGUGGCUUACCAAGGCUUUGACGGGUAGCCGGCCUGAGAGGGUGACCGGCCACAUUGGGACUGAGCUACGGCCCAGACUCCUACGGGAGGCAGCAGUGGGGAAUAUUGCACACUGGGCGGCAGCCUGAUGCAGCCACGCCGCGUGCGGGAUGACGGCCUUCGGGUUGUAAACCGCUUUCGCCUGUGACGAAGCGUGAGUGACGGUAAUGGGUAAAGAAGCACCGGCUAACUCCGUG